AGUGAACGCUGGCGGUAGGUCUAACACAUGCAAGUCGAACGGCAGCACAGUAAGAGCUUGCUCUUACGGGUGGCGAGUGGCGGACGGAUGAGGAAUACAUCGGAAUCUACUUUUUCGUGGGGGAUAACGUAGGGAAACUUACGCUAAUACCGCAUACGACCUACGGGUGAAAGCAGGGGAUCUUCGGACCUUGCGCGAUUGAAUGAGCCGAUGUCGGAUUAGCUAGUUGGCGGGGUAAAGGCCCACCAAGGCGACGAUCCGUAGCUGGUCUGAGAGGAUGAUCAGCCACACUGGAACUGAGACACGGUCCAGACUCCUACGGGAGGCAGCAGUGGGGAAUAUUGGACAAUGGGCGCAAGCCUGAUCCAGCCAUACCGCGUGGGUGAAGAAGGCCUUCGGGUUGUAAAGCCCUUUUGUUGGGAAAGAAAAGCAGCAGGUUAAUACCCCGCUGUUCUGACGGUACCCAAAGAAUAAGCACCGGCUAACUUCGUG
This 492-nucleotide ribosomal RNA is filed under the name uncultured bacterium. RNAcentral's name for it is "partial 16S ribosomal RNA". It matches the Rfam family "Bacterial small subunit ribosomal RNA", at positions 29 to 507 of the family's 1533-position model. The record is from RNAcentral.